GUCAGCUCCAGUUCAGACCUUCUCAGAGUCCUGAGGCCCUGCCAGCAAUCACAGCCCCAGCCAACCGGAGUCCUCCACUCACAUUCCUGCUCACUGUGGUCAGGGAUCUGCCGAGGCCCGGGAGUCUAGAGGCCCUCAGCUGGCUUUCAGGUUGCUUUGGGACAAGGCAAGCAACUGACUCAUGCAGCCGUGUACUGAAGAUUGCUUAGUCACCGUCCACCUCUGUCUUAGGGUACAGGGAAGCACAGUUCCCGCUGGUGCCCCUCCGACCCAUCCAGCCCUUCCUCUGGAGAAGAGAAAGGGCACUGCUGUUUGCAUGCUAAUGAGCCCGACACACCGCAUUUUCCAGUUCUCACAAUGACAGCCUACACCUGUCACUCUGUGUGCCAAGCAGGGAAGGCUGCGGAUGCCACAGACACAGGGGAGGAGGUGCAGGAGGAAGGAAGAAGAUCAUCAACUCUGAACAGCAGUGCGUCAAACCUGACUUGGUAAACCAGGACAUAGCCAGAGGUUAAACUGGAGAUCCCUGCACAUCCCUCCUAAUUAGAGAAAGCCUUGGUGUUGAACAGAAUGUGGGUUCAGAUCCUGGUGUGGCUGUUGACCUUGGGCAGGAUGCCUGACCUCUGAGACUUGUAAAAUGGAGAUCACAGUUACUGGUAAGGAAACUGAGGCCUGGAAAGGUUAAAUAAUGGCUCUCGCAUCAUGGCUGGGAUGUGGCUUUGGACCCAGGCAGCCAUAACUCUAGAACCUAUGCUCUUAACCACCCCUUCCUCCAUGCUCCCCCACUUACCAUUCAUCAACAGCAAGAGAACAUGUGUGAGGUUGAAGAUAAUGAAUUUGGUUUGAGAUGUCGAUGCAGUGUUUCCUCGAGGACAUCUAGGUAAGAGACUUCUGGUCCACAGUUGGGUUUGUACAUGGAGUAUAGGAAUCAAGACACUGUAGACAGAUGGGGAUUGAGUCGUGGGUGAUAAGGUCACACAGGGAGUGGGGUAGCAUGACAACAGAGGAGGGUCCGGGACACAUUUAAAGAGUAGAUGGAGGAGAAGGAGUCUGAGGACAGGCCGCCAAGAGAAGGGAAAGGGAGGUCUUGGAAGGAGGGAGACCAUACGUCUGAGUUUGCCUGGGAGAUUCUUGGUUUAUGACAGUUAGCCUGGCAUAAUAAUUCAUUAGUGCCCUUUGUCACUUUAAGCAAUGGCCCAGUUUGGAAGACAAAUGAUAUAUUCACCCUCCUUAGAGGGUCAAGGAGGUGAAAGUAUCAGGGAGGAGGAAAUGCAGGUGUAAAAUAUCGCAGAGAGAACAAUAACAUGUUUGCUAAGUGGUACAUUGGAGUUGGAUUUGGCAAACUGAUGACCUUGAGAGAGGUUUCUGAGGAAAGAGGUGGUGAAUAGAUUCAUGCUGACAUCUGAAGAAGCAGUAAGUAGAGAUAACACAUAUGCACAAGUCACUGUUUUUGACCAGGGAGGCAGAGGUAACAAAUAGACAACUCUGUCCUGAUGGAAUUUAUUGUGUAUGUGUGUGGUUUUGGAAGAAUAAAGCAGAGUGACAUGAUAGAAUCACUGGAAUUUAUUUGAGGCCCAUGGUGGGGAGGUGGGAAGCCCUCUCAGAAGCUGUAACACUUGACCUAAGAAUUCUGUGAAAAGAGCAAGCCUGCCUGUGAAGCUUGAGGGAUGGAAACUUCCAGAGAGAGGCAAGAGUUCAUGCAAAGGCACUGAGGUCGGAGUUUGAAAAACAGAAAGAAGGUCAUUGAGGGUGGCAGUGGGCACCAGAGGGGAGAAGAUGGAUUCCAGAGGUAGGAGGAGUGAAUUGACAGCCCUUGGUGACAGACUGGCUAUGAGGGAGAAAACAGAGGAUGGUCUAGGAAGGCUUCCCAUGUCAACUUUGGAAAUGCGGGUACCUGCUCCUCCCUACCCUCAGACAGAUCCGGCAGAAGAAACUGGUUUUGAUGGAAUGCAAUGAAUUAUGUAGUGAGUUGAAUAGUGGGUUAUCCACUUGGACAUAUCCUUUGUCCAACCAUAACCUGUGAACCUGUGAAUGUAAACUUACUUGGAAGAAGGGUCUUUGCAGAUGUAAUUAAGGAUCUUGAGAUAAGAUUAUCCUAGAUUUAGAAUGGGCCUUAAAUCCAAUGGCAGGUGUUCUUAUAAGAGAAAGGCAGAGGGAAAUCUGAGACAUACAGGGGAGGAGAGAAGGCCAUGUGAAGAUGGAGGCAGAGAUUGGAUUCCUUAUAGUCACAAGCCAAGGAAUGCCCGGAGCUACCAGAAGCUGGAAGAGGCAAGGAAGGAUCCUCCCCUAGAGCCUUCAGAGUGAGCAUGGCCCAGCUGACACCUUGACUUCAGACUUCUGGCCUCCACAGCUGUGAGAGACUAAAUUCCUUUGUUUUAAGCCACUAGGUAUGCGCUAAUCUGUUUUAACAGCCACAGGAUACUAAUACAAACUAUUCCAUGUCGAGGGUGGGGAGCUAGACAGAGGUGUUGGCUGGGCGAGUGGCUACAUGGAGCACCCCUCAGGAGAGAAGCCAGGCCUGGAGAUAAAGCUUUCAAAGGCGGUUGAGCAGGUGGUAGUUUAAAUCAGUGUUUUUUUUUUUUUCUUAAGUAGGCUCCAUGCUCAGUGUGGAGCCCAACGCGGGGCUUGAACUCAUGAUCCUGAGAUCAAGACUUGAGCUGAGGUCAAGAGUCAGACGCUUAACCAACGGAGCCACCCAGUCUUCCAGGGGUCAGCCGCACUGGAUAGAUCCAGGUUUUAAAAGGGCAACCUACUAUUUCCUACUCUGGAUGGAAUAUGAGCCUACAUAUCUGUUGUACAUAUUUUGACUUCAUUAUAGGAGAUAAGCUCUCGGACGUUCUGCAAGUAUCUGGAAUUUAAAAUUUUUUAAACUGAGCCCCUUCCUCAAUGUCUGUGGGCUUGUUCCCUCAUCUCUAAAUUUCAUUCAAAUGUAACCUUCUCAGGAAAGCCUUCCUUAGUCAUUCUAUUGAAAUCUGCAGCCACCUCCUCCCUGGUCAUGUCAUAACCAUUUUUCUCCAUAGCACAUAUCACUGCCUGAUAUAUUACAUAUUUAUUAAUAUUCUGUUAAUUACCUAUCAGCCCCCAAUAAAAGAUAAGUUCCAUGAGGGUGGGGCUUGUUCACUGCUGCAGAUAUUGCCUAGAGCACUAUCUAGCACAUAGUAGGUCUUUAUUUAUUGAAUGGCAAAUGAGUGGCUUAUCGGAUACCUACUCUCGGCUCCCACCUCAAACUCACCCUUUCUAGAAACAAAUUCUGACACCUUUUUAUACCAACACCCAGGUUAAAAAAAUUGGCAUCAUUUUUCUUCCGCCUUUCUUCAGUCUCAGCUACCAGUUUCCCAAGUCCUGGCAGCUCUUGUGUUAUGUCUCUCGCUGAUGCUAUGCCCUUAAUAGAUGCUCAAUAGAAUGCUGUAGCAAGGUUACUUCUGGCAGUUGGCAUGGAGGAAAGAGAGGAAGAUUUAUUUUUCCUCCUUACCCUCUGAACUAUUUGGUAUUUAAAAAAAUCAGGAGAGUUGUAGUAGACAGCGUUGGCUUCCUAUCACCCAUUUCCACCCCCACUUCCUUACUUAAGGUGUCCAUCAGCCUCCAUGGCCCACUACAUGUUCAGGAGAUGCUGACUCAAACUGUUCAACUUAGCUGUCAGGGAAAGGAUGGGUUCGGAUUAGUUUAAGCCAUUGUCUGCAUGUGUGUCAUCACCCCCCACUGGGAGCACAGGACCCACUUAAAUGUUUUCUCUAUCCUCAUAGAUGUGGACAAGAUAAUGCUGACUGACUCUGGCAGCCAUCUUGUGACCACAAAGGGAACCAGCCAAGGACAAAGCUGUCAUUGAGCAUGGCAGGGCUGAGAGAUAGUUUGGGUCUUUGAUGCUCGUGGGAGCCCACCCUCUGUCUGCACUGCUGGUCCAUUCGUCCCCUUAUUCUACAAAUACUACAAAUACUGACUGAGUAUCUACUAUGUAGCAAGCACUGUUUUAGCUGGGGAGACAGCUGUAAAUCAAAACAGACAAAAAUCCCUAUGUCAUGGAGCUUCCAUUCCUGGGGGGAGGGGAGACAGUAGUGACAGAUCAUAAAAAUAACUACAAUACACAAGUAAAUAAUAUAUUAGAAAGUUAUAAGUGCUAUGUUAAAUAAAAAAAAACCAGAGCAAUUUGCUAGAAUAGAUUCUCCAACACUGAACUCCUGUAUGUGUUGUGUGUUCUUUUCAGUAAUAAAUCAAAACACCCCUUUUGGAAGCUGACAGUUUUUUUAGUUUGCAAUAGGUAAGAAUACAUCAUUGUGCACUGGAGUUGGGAUUCUGAUCUGAUUUUUUUCUAAUCCAAUUGAACCCAUUGUGCAUCAGUGGUUGAAGACAGGUGGAAAUUAUGAAGGACAUGGGAGCAUUCCUGGGUAUUGGGAUUUAAAAAGGCAUUUGUCUUUGGGCAAGGGUAAUUCGCACAUGAAUAAAUCUCAGAACUGCCUAUUAGUGUUGCAAAGGUAUCAGAUGCAAACAAAGCAAAUGACAACAAAACAAUAAAAUACAUACAAAUGUGGUGGUUAUUAUUUGAAAUCUGGAUUACCGAUGGACUGGCAAUGAAAGUGAACCAAUGCCAUCAUGCACCACAUAUUUUAGAGAUGCUCCUAAAUUCUGGCAUAAACUUACCCAACAUCAGGCAUCAUUUUGAAAUGUACAUAGAAUACCAUCUUAAAAACUGUCAAAGUAACUUAAUGUUAUGACUAGAACACAGUGUAUCAGGAGAUAAAAUUGUAAACUCUGUGGAAGCCAAAUGUGUAGGAUUGUAUUUAAUUGCAAUGCCUAGAACUGCUAAGUUUAUUGACAAAUUUUCAGUCCUGACACCAAAAAAGAAAAAAAAAAAAAGGGUAGAGAAUGAUGAUCAAAGAAAACACAAUGAUUGACAAGAUAUCUCUGUCCCACAGAGUAAAUUACAGAAUGGCGGCCGAUAGAAGGCAGCCAUUUUUAUUAGCACAACCAAGUGAAAUGAGUUAUUGCAAACUGGCAAACCCACUGAUAUUCUGAAUCCUAAUGUUCUUUUAGGGUUGUCAGUAUGACAACCUAUGAACUAGGUAAAGAAGCCCAUGAAAAUAUUUUUAGGCUGCCAACCUUAACCGACUUGCACAGACAACUGACGAAUGCCUCGUGAUACAGCCCGGAAGUGAGAAUCUGGGAUAGGCACGCACAGGCUGAAGGUCUGGUUGGCAACACCAGAAGACCAUCUCCACCUUCACGCUGUUACAAAGAAACAGUUGCCCUUCAGAAUAUGUAUGAAGACUUAAGACAGGUACUUAAUGAAGCUAAUAAAAUUGUCAACCACGUCCCAAGCAGGCCGUUAAAUAAAUACCUGGCCUUUUUUCUUGGCUGUAUGAAGAGACGGGUCAUGACUGCAAAGCACCAUUUCAAACGAAAGCUCAUUGUCUUUUGAUUAGAAAAGUUUUUGUUCUUUCAAGUUGUAAAAGGAACUUUAUUUUUUUCAUUGAAAACUCUCCCUGGGGGAGAUAUUGUGCGUGGAUGGGCCUGGCUUUACAAGUUAAUCUCUGCGUUCAUGUCAACUCCGGUGCGUGCUGUUACCAGGCAAGUGUAGGAGUGAGUGGUCCACCAUGGAGACCCAGGAGUCGCAGCGCUGGAAACCUGGCCCCAUCUGGCAGAGACCUUGGUCUGGGGAGUUGAGAUUUUUGCCCUUGCCUGAAAGAUCUGGUUAGUAACCCACCUGAAAAUAGGAAGAGACACUUAGACGACUUAAUAAAAGGGCUCUAUAAGUCAAACUGGAAGUGGCUUGGUGGACAAGGAAACUCUUACGGCACCACUUUAGGACAUCACCAAAUAACUUUGGACCUUUUUAAGAAGAGCGGGUUCUAGAGAUAGCUUCAGAUGGUUUCUUGAAACUGCUUUUUUUGGGUUCGUUUGGGUUUUUUUUGUUUUUGAAUACAGUCAUUUAUAUCGUUUUGUUCCACUUAUGUCAUUUUAAGUGGGAAUUAUUUCUCAGCAUCUGAUCCAGUCAGAGAAGACCAUUAAACAGAGGAGUAGUCAACAUUUACUAGCACUUUCCUUGUGCAAGGUGCCGUUGGAAGUGCACAUACUCCUUUAAUCCUCUCGAUGACGCUGGGAGGCAGAUAUUAUCCUGUAAAUAAGCGACUGUUACUAUCUCUGUUUUAUAGAUGAUGAAACAGGCACAAAAGGUUAAGCAUCUUGGGGCACCUGGGUGACUCAGUCGUUAAGCGUCUGCCUUCGGCUCAGGUCAGGAUCCCAGGGUCCUGGGAUCGAGCCCAACAUCAGGCUCCCUGCUCCACGGGAGGCCUGCUUCUCCCUCUCCCACUCCCCCUGCUUGUGUUCCUGCUCUUCCUCCCCCCCCCCCUCUCUCUGUGUCAAAAAAAAAAAAAAAAAAAAACAUCUUGCCCUGGGUUGCACAGGCAGAGAAGCCAGGAUUAAAACCCAGACAAUUCUGGCUUCUCAAGCCAAACUUUCAACCAUUAUGUUAUAUAUUUUAAGUAUACAAAUAUGUGUGUGUAUAUAUUUAAAAUAAGUGAUACUUUAUUGCUGCUGGAACAAAUGACCACAAGCCUAUUGGCUCAAAACAACAUGAUUUUAUUACCUUCGCAUCAUGGAGGUCAGUAGUCUGAAGUGGGUCUCACUGAGCUAAAAUCGAGGUGUAUUCAGGGCUGUGUUCCUUCUGGAGGCUCUAGGGAAAAUCUGUGUCCUUGCUUUUUUCAUCUUCUAGAGGUUACCUGCAUUUCUUGGCUCUUAGCCCCCUUCUUCCGUUUUCAAAGACAGAAGCCUAAAACCUUCAGUUCUCUCUCUCUGACUCUGACGAUGGUUCUCUUGUCUCCCUCUUUGGCUCUAAGGACUCUCGUGAUUACAUCUGGAUAAUCCAGGAUAAUCUCUUUAUUUUAAGGUCAUUGACUAGCAACCCUAAUUCCAUCUGCAACCCUAAUUACUCCUUUCGACAACACAACAUAUUCACAGGUUCCAGGGAUUGGGACGUGGACGUCUUAGCAAGGUCAUCAUUCUGCCUACCACAACUUUCUUACUUCAAAAUUCAAAACUUAAAACACAAAAAGGUGUACAGUGGAAAAUCUCCCUUCUGUGUCUGUGCCCUGGUCACAGAUAGGAAGCUCCCUUCUCCAGAAGCAACUGAUGUUAUCCUGUGUCCUAGAUUUAUUUUAUGCAUAUAAAGGCAAAUAUGUAUAUUUGGGUUUUUAAAAAAAUUUUACCUUCACUAUAAACACUGUCCUACAUAUUGCUUUUUUUUUUUUCCAUUUAAAAAAUAUGUCCUGGAGUUCAUUCAGGUUGAUAUAUAAAGAUCUGUGUCGUUCUUUUUGUGUCUGCAUAGUCUUUGAUUACAUGGGAUGGAUCUCAUGUUGUACUGAUUUUUACUUAUCCCCCAGGACAUUUAGGGGUCUCCAGUCUUUGAGUUGUUUUGGAUCUUUUGUGAUGCAAACAAUGCUGUAACAGCUUUGUACUGUUACCUGGCAAGUGUUUCGUGUGUCUAUAAGAUUAACCCUUAGAAGGAGAAUGACAGGGUCAAGGAGUAUGUGCAUUUGCCAUUUCAAAAGCUAGUGCUAACUGCUUUCUUUUACCCUUUCUGGGUAGGAAUUAAAAAAAAAACAACACAAAACACAUAAAGAACUUAUGUUUAUCUAAUAAAUGUAAUAUAUAUCUCUUGAUGUCUAGGUAUGUGUUUUAAAUUUUUCAGUAGUUGUGUUAUUUGGUCUUUUCGUUCUUUCUUUUUUUUUUUUAAAUAGGCUCCAUGCCUGGCAUGGAGCCCAAUGCGGGGCUUGAACUCACGACCCUGAGAUCAAGACCUGAGCUGAGAUUAAGAGUUGGACACUUAACCCACUGAGCCACCCAGGUGCCCUGUAUUAUUUUCUUUUAAUCCUUUUACCAUUUCAAG
Long non-coding RNA from Mirounga angustirostris (Northern elephant seal), 7879 nucleotides. RefSeq lists it as uncharacterized. NCBI's taxonomy places the organism in Eukaryota, Metazoa, Chordata, Mammalia, Carnivora, Phocidae. The transcript is spliced from 7 exons. The record is from RefSeq and is a predicted model, not a curated record.